Molecule: ribosomal RNA, 403 nt
Filed under: Gammaproteobacteria bacterium
Lineage: Bacteria; Pseudomonadati; Pseudomonadota; Gammaproteobacteria
Description: bacterial SSU rRNA
Rfam family: Bacterial small subunit ribosomal RNA
Source: RNAcentral
CUGGGCGUAAGCGCACGCAGGCGGUCUGUUAAGUCAGAUGUGAAAUCCCCGGGCUUAACCUGGGAACUGCAUUUGAAACUGGCAGGCUUGAGUCUCGUAGAGGGGGGUAGAAUUCCAGGUGUAGCGGUGAAAUGCGUAGAGAUCUGGAGGAAUACCGGUGGCGAAGGCGGCCCCCUGGACGAAGACUGACGCUCAGGUGCGAAAGCGUGGGGAGCAAACAGGAUUAGAUACCCUGGUAGUCCACGCCGUAAACGAUGUCGACUUGGAGGUUGUGCCCUUGAGGCGUGGCUUCCGGAGCUAACGCGUUAAGUCGACCGCCUGGGGAGUACGGCCGCAAGGUUAAAACUCAAAUGAAUUGACGGGGGCCCGCACAAGCGGUGGAGCAUGUGGUUUAAUUCGAUGC